RNAcentral lists this ribosomal RNA (253 nucleotides) under uncultured bacterium. RNAcentral's name for it is "partial 16S ribosomal RNA". It matches the Rfam family "Bacterial small subunit ribosomal RNA", at positions 524 to 776 of the family's 1533-position model. The record is from RNAcentral.
UACGGAGGAGGCAAGCGUUAUCCGGAAUUAUUGGGCGUAAAGCGUCCGUAGGUGGUUGGCCAAGUCUGCUGUCAAAGGGUGGGGCUUAACCUCAUAAAGGCAGUGGAAACUGGCGAGCUAGAGUGCGGGAGGGGUAGGGGGAAUUCCCAGUGUAGCGAUGAAAUGCGUAGAGAUUGGGAAGAACAUCGGUGGCGAAAGCGCCCUGCUGGGCCUGCACUGACACUGAGUGACCAAAGCUAGGGGAGCGAAAGGG